RNAcentral lists this small RNA (7069 nucleotides) under Rattus norvegicus (Norway rat). Its description in RNAcentral is "uncharacterized LOC103695237". The record is from RNAcentral. Lineage: Eukaryota; Metazoa; Chordata; Mammalia; Rodentia; Muridae.
AAUAAAAAAAUGAAUUAAAAAAGUCAGCAGUAAGGAAGAUAAUUAAGUAAAUAUUACUAAGUAAAGUCUGUUAUAGGAAAGAAAUUUUGACAUAUUUCUUCAUCAUGGGGUCAGCACAGAAGAUGAUGUGUCUUCAUUUCUUCUCACAAAAAAGUGGAAGCAGUUAAAAGUGUGUGUACAUGUAUGUGCUUCUGCACUAAAUAUUAUUAACCAUAAAAGGGGACUUCCAGUAAGAUAUCCAUGAUAAAAGAUAUAGAUGCGGGUUUGUCUUUUAAUCUCUCCCUUCCUCACAGAUUCCUGCCAGUGAUAUCGUUAUCAGACUCAAACAUGGGGAUGAUUUUGUCAGAGGCUUUAAUUAUAUUUCCCAUCAAAGUCUCAUUGAGCAGUUUCAUUAACUUUUGCUUCCUGGGACACCUUAGAGGACAAAUGAUUCUCUAGUCUCAGUUGCUCAUCACUAAUAUCAGGAAAUAUAUGCUUCACUCCCCUGGACAGAUUCUUCUGAACUUGGAUAUGUGCUGUGGGAAGAAAAGUGAGAGGGCUAGGCCCAGGUCUUUUCAAAUCUUCAAUAUGGAUGGCUCUUCCUGAAUCAGGCAUCUCUGACCCAAAUCAGAUCCACUGGCUUUGCUGUCACCUGCCAAUAGCUGAAGAUGUGCGGUUUCUCCAACUGACGAGUCUUGUGGAAGUUCCUACUGCCUUCAAGAUGCUGAAAUGAGAUAUGGUAAUUCUGGGACUAUUUCCAUUUCUGACUUGGGGAUACUAAGUUUGAGUUCACUCAGGUGAGUGACUUUAAAGAAGUGGCUUUUCAGGGAAGCACAUACAAGUCCAAUAGGUACCAAGACAUCUUGCCACUGACCUUCAUGUACAACAGCAGCUCAGUGUUGUCAGGAGUUCUAGUCUUGAAGGACCAUAGAGGCUCCUGUGAACGAUUAUUACUGUACGUAGGCCAUUUCAAUAGGUGGUGAUGGGUCAAGUAUUCUAUGAAUUUUUGUUUUGCUCAGAUUGAGGGCAGUUGCUGAGUGUCGGGAAAGAGAGAGAACGUUACCUACUUCAUGAGUUGGUCCAAUUCCUUUAAAGCCAAGGGGCAGAAACUUCAGUUUUUGGCUCUCCUUAAAGAUUUUGCUUUUUUUGGGUAUCUGUAAGUAAAUGUUCAAGAGAAAAAGAAAUUUCCAAAAUUUUUCCUGAAUAUGUCCCAGGGUUCUGUACUAGUUUUUCUUGUAAGAAUUUACUUCUGACACACUACUUAUUGUUCUAAGUAGAACACUUAAUAAUACAAAUUUUAGAAAGUCAAAGCAUAUUUACUGAGCACAUGUUAUGUGCCAGGUUUUGUGCUAAGCACUUUAUAUGCUUUGUGCUGUUCUGUCCUUAAAACAACUUGGUGAUGGAGUGUUAAUUAUAUUCCUCCUAUUGAGAAUGGGUAAUCAAUUUUUAUUUGUUUCCUUCUUCAGCCAUUGAAGUAGUAAUAUUGACAUGUGUCAUGAUAAUUGGAGACAAGGUAGAAGCCUUAAAUUUCUAAACCUAAGAAUAGCUUUCAUAUAAAGGAGAAGGGUGGCGACAGAGAGCAGUAGAUACCAGCAUAGGUGGCAGAAGGCUGGUGGUGGCUCCUGGCCCAGGAAGCAAGACAUAGAUCAAGAGCAACUAUGAGAACACAGUCCAGGACUGUGAUCCUUGUGCAGACUCAGUUCGUGUGAAUGCAGGAGAUCCUGUAGAUCCCUGAUGUGGACCUAUCCUGGUUUACCCAACAUAGUUUGAAAGCUCAGGAAGAAAUGAGUGCUGGGGUGACUCAGAAGAUGAUUUAGAAAGCCAACAUCAUGGGUCAAUGGAAGUAGAGGGGACAAAGGCAAAGAUAGGUUGACAGAUAUUUUACCAGGAAGUAGCAAAGGGGCCAGGUGAAAGUUGGGUCCUAUUUGAGAUGUACAGUAGACAAAGAAUGGGCCAAGAGAUGAGAGGGUAAGGUUCAUGAGAGAAGUCUUUACCAGUGUCAUUUUAACAGGGUCUUGUGUUUUCUUUUUCAGGCCAGUGACAGAGGAAUCAAGCAGCCAUUGAGAAUAGCAAUGACAAUUCUCUAUCAUCUCCCCUUCUCACCAGACCAUUGAACAAAAUUGAUUCCAAGUAGAUGAAGCUGUGUUUUCUUGUCACUGGGAACAGCCAAUUAGAGAGAAGAAAGGCACCAGAGCUGCUGGUGCAGGAGCAUUUAGGUGGAGUUUCUGAUACAGCUGCGUGUCCUCUGCUUCUCAGAGGUCAACACUCUUUGACCCACUGUCUUUUCUGGCUACUGGAGUUAUGAAAACGCUCAUGUUCUCAGACAGGUUUGUGUUUAAAAAGAGAUCCCAGGACCAUAGAUUGUAACUAUUUCUAAAUUGUAACUGCUUUUAAUUGACGUGUACCAAUGGCACAUAUUUGCAGGACUAAUUCUGCUGCUAUCACAAGCAGGCUCUCAUUGCAGGAUAAUGAAAUCUGGGCAUUAAGCAUCUCCAUUGGCAUCUGGGCAUUUAGCAGUAUCUUAUUGCUUGGUGCACGGAUUGCUUUAUUGCUUCUUUGCAAUGAAGACAGAAAUGAGGAUGUAGAAUGUUUUUGAAAUAUCCAAUACAAUAUUAGUAGCCCAAGUCACACAGCUGUUUAUGCUAUAUGUGCCACCUAGCACAGCAAGACCGUCUUCUGUUAAAUCAGAGACAGGCCUGAAGAACUCGCACCUCCCUUUCAACUCGUGGAUGAGCAAAUCACAGGUCAAAGUUCUCCUAUCAGCUGUUAAGUCGUAGGUGACUUCGAAGUGCUCUGGCUGUUUUUGUCUCAUGUUUUUCUGACCCCUUCUGACAGGUAACAGUCACAUUGGUUUUGGUGACUCACUCUACCUCUCAGGUACUAACAUGGAAACCACUGUAAAUGUCAGUACACUGACUCUUCUUAUUACUACUGGAAGUGCACUUUGGUAGAAGAUGUAACCCAGAUCCUGGAGACAGAUAUUCCUGGGCAGCAUUUGUAAAACUCCACAACUCCCCACCACCCAUCUAUCAUCACUCCCUGCUUAGCCGGCUAGGUGAAGUUUGGUUCAGGCAGGAGAAAUUUAAAGAAUCCCAGAAACAAAUUAAAGUCUUAGUCUAUGAUGGCUUCCUGACACAAAGGCUACAUGGUGUCUGCCUUGUUCUUCUGGGUCAGUCUCCUUUUAUUGGCACCACGUAUGGCAAGUAUAUGCCUGCUUUAUUUCUGUGACUCAGUUUCUAUUGUGCCCCCAAGUCUUAUGUUAUCAUCCACUUGUCAUCAAAAAUUACUGUUUCCCUCAUCCCCUAUCAAACGCACUUGGUAUUACACGUGUAUCUUUCUGGCUAGUGUCUGGAACUUUGCCACAUCUCUAGAGUGCAUAAACCUAGGCUGUGUUUUCCAUUUACCAAACUGCACAUCUGUCAGGAGACCUGAGAGCUCUGUCAGGACAAAUAGCCUAGACACUUGAAAUGUCUUCAUGCCUGAUGCUCUGGAUACUUCAACCCUUUGACGGGUGUGUCUGUUUUUUAGGAACCAGCACUAUCCAACAGAGGAGACUAUUUUUGGGUCCCAAACAUGUGCUUCUUAGUGUUGUGGACCGUGACCUGAGCUAGGACACAGAGGAGGGAUAAGACUCCUAAGAAGCUAGCUUUCUGUCAUUGUGUCAGACUUCUAUGUGCAUUUUCUGUAUGGUCUGGAUCUGACAUCUGUCAAUCAUGUACAAAUGUGGAAAGAUUUGAGGGGAGACAUAUCCACAUGAGAAGAAAAAUAUGAUAAUAUUUCACAGAUAUAAUAUUCACAGAGGCAAGCUAAUGGGCAGCGCCUUCUGCCCUUUGGGUAGUUCUGUUAGGAGUACUUGCUGGCACCGUUGUUCUAUCUCUAAUACCUUACUUUGUCCCAAGAAAUGUCUGAAGGUGGGAAUCGAAAAACAAUUUUAAGAAGGGGGAAUCUGUGUGGUGAAGAAAAUAAGCUCAGGUAACGCUGGACCCAAAAACGUUUAUUUGCUGCACAGGCCCACUUAUCAUGACCUAUGUAUGCUGCUGCCUCUUAGGUGAUCAGGGUCAUGGAUAAGAGGCCAGGUAUGUCAAACUGGUAGUGACAUCCACAGACAAUAGGAGCUGCAACUGACUUGGAAGCUCUUCGAGUUAGUGCCUGUCAGGUAAGAUAUUGAAGAUAACCUUGAUCACCGAACCUCCAUAAUCCUAGAGUUCCUUCCCUUAUCCUCAGUGGUCACAAUUUAGGGGAUGAUAAUCAGAAGCUCUGUGUGAAUCCCAGGGAUCUCUCCUUUCCUGGAGACUUCUCUGGCUUAGAUCAGAUUGUGAAUAAGUCAAAAAGUCCAUCUCUGUGUGCUUUCUGUGGUGGUCUGGUGUGGCAGGUGCCAUCACCCAGUGCCUUCCAGGAUCCCUUCAGGUUGAAGACUGCCAGCUAGAGUUCAUCAGCCUUUUUUAGGCUUCACAUCAUCAGAGCCCUCAGGCUGUGGAGGUGAUGUUAACAGAAAGUUUACAGAGGGUACUAUUUUACACCAUUGGGCCUAGAGUAAGGUAGGUGACUUUCAUUAUCUUUUCUGCUCUCCUUUAUGACCUCUCCAGUGUCCCCUUCAGUCAUAUAGUAGCUUGCUUGCAAGCAUCCUUUCUCCUAAACUCUUGUAACUCAUUUGCCCCAUCCCCACUUUGUGAAGACAGGAUCCUCCUAGCUAUUUUCUGAGACACAACCUCUCUCAGACUUUUUCCUCACCUAGUCUACCAUUGUUCAGGGAUUCGCACCCACUACACUUUCCUACCCAAUGAGCUUCUAUAUAGUUAGAGUAGCCAUUUGGAAUAGAAACUUUGGAGCUUCACAGUGGAUUUUAUACUUUCACUAUCAAUGCUAUUUUAUGUACUCAUGGACUAUCACAAAUGAAAAAUCCAUGACAGAAUUAGAACAAGAAAACCAAUUAGCUCUAUAGCCUGAUUUUAUAACCCAUGUUCAUUAUCUACAUUGCUACAUUGAACUUUUCCCCAUCUCCUUUAUUCAGUCUUUCUUGUUUUCUCUUCUACACGUUACACUAUACCACAUGCUAAUUAGUUUUCUCUUGACUUGUCCAUCUAGCUGCCAGGAUCAAUUCCUUACUGCACAUGUCCAACCUGACCAUUACAUAUUGGUACCUUGAUUUCAAACACCUAGGAAAGGGUUUUUUUUCCUAUCCACUGAGUUCUAAGACAACCAGCAUUCUGCUGAAAACCCAAGCCAACUUCUCAUUCUCCAGAAGCAUCGAAGCACUUUAAAAGGAAUGUCUAAAUCAUCUGGUCUAUUAAGGCAUCAAAUUCCUCCACAAAUUGUACCAGACAUUUUUUCAUUGUGGAGAAACAGGGAUUUUGCAAAGAUGUCAAACCACAUAAGGCAGCAGGCACAACACAGCAUCAAAGACAUAAUUUGUGCUUGUCGUUCUGGGAGGCAGAAGUUACUAGGAACAUACUCAGAGAAUGAAGCAAAAUACAAACACCGAGAGCAGCUCUGCCAUGAUGGACAGGUAAGAGUUACUGUAGUAACUGCUGCACGUGCACAUCUACUUUUUCUAUCUCAUGCACAAAACAAGGCAGAUAAAAUCAGGAGAGCUCUGGUCAAAGGCUUACACUAAAACAUACAAUGUGCUUAAACUGGACAUUACAGUGCCUAAAUACUGAAAUCAUUGUGUAAUGGAAAUUAAAGUAACAAAGCAGGUGAAGACGAUAAGGAGAACGCAGAGUAUUUCUGUGAUCAACAUGGAAGUGAUGUGUGCUGAUUUGUCUUUUCUUCCUAGAAGAGAUUCCUUAUGCAAUGGCUCAACUGCAAGGCACAGUGCAGUUUAACAUACAAGGGCUCUCAAUAAGAGUUCAUGCUAAUACUUACGAUAGAAUAAAACUCCAGUAUAAUUUUAGCAAUCUUAACCAAGGGAUGAGGAAUUAUGAUAAUUCUUUUUCUGAAGGACUGAUAACAGGGCAAGGUGGUGGAUAUCUGCAAUCUGAGCUUUAAUAUUGUAGAAACAGUAGGGACAUGAAUUUAUGUUCAGCCCAAGCUAUACAGCAUGUUUCAGAGUACAGGGAAAGACCAAGUCUCACAAAACUAUUAUAGCAGUUAUAUGUGAUAACUGGCCAUGCAUCUGUCUAUGUUUGUAUCCAUCCAUUCAUCUAUCCACCCAGUUCUAUCAAUUUUGUCCUUAUCGUAAUUCUAUAAUAUUAACUGAUACCAAGAGAAACAGCACAUCAUUAUCUUGAAACAAUAUGAGGAUACUUUAAAACAGAGUUUAGACCAGAUAAUAAACAAUAUUUACUUUAGAUUAUUUAUAAAAUAAUCUCUGCACAAAUAUAUGCAUACUCUUUUAGAAGCUGCUUCUGGAUCUAUCCUCUGCCCUUCUUUUUUUCCAAGGCUGGUUGAGAGGAUUCAGGGUCCCCACCAAUGGGAAACCAGCAUCGUGUUCUAGCUGUGAGGAGAGCAGCCAAAUGUGUCCUGACGUUCAGGUGGAUUUGUGCAACAGGAUACUUGCCAGUCAUGAGCAGCAAACACGGUUCCAUUAAUCCACUUUAAGGCAAUGACUGAGACCGUGAUUCAACCUAAGUCUGCCUCACUUGCCCAAUAAUUCACUUUGUUGAUCAUUAUCCUGAAUGCCAUUUUAAUUCUGCUGAGCUCACAGAAUUACAAAGGCAGUUAAUGCCUAUGAUUUAAUUUUUUCUUUUUCCAUUUUAAUGUGUGCGUGUACAUGUUAUACAUAUGCAUAUAAGAGUUCAAAAUUGAUGCCAGGAAUCAAUCUCAACCAUUCUUCCACCUUUCUCCCUGGAGACAGUUCCCAGUCAAACUCCUACUGUUGCUAGGAUGCUUGUUGUGGGAUCCUUUCUAUCUUUCAAACCUGCUGUCCAGAGGCACAUUUCCCCACCCAAUACUUACUGCAAUCUUUCUAACCUAUCUUUCAUGGUGAUGAUCCCCGAUCUUUAGAGGGGGCAACAUACAUAUCUUAUUUAGAGCCCAACACACCUUACUAUCCCUUAGUUUUGACAUAUUAUGUGUUUGUUCAUUAACCACUGUCUGCUUCAAGAAUAAGCUUCCCUGAUCAUGGCUGAACACAGCACUAAUCUAUGAA